This is a non-coding RNA of Triticum aestivum (bread wheat), 125 nucleotides long. Lineage: Eukaryota; Viridiplantae; Streptophyta; Magnoliopsida; Poales; Poaceae. The record is from Rfam.
UAUGUACUCCCUCCGUCCGGAAAUACUUGUCGGAGAAAUGGAUGAAAAUGGAUGUAUCUAGAACCAAAUUGCAUCUAGAUACAUCCAUUCCUCCGACAAGUAUUUUCGGACGGAGGGAGUAUCUU